UGGGAAACUGGGUCUAAUACCGAAUAUGACCACGCUCUUCAUGGGGUGUGGUGGAAAGCUUUUGCGGUGUGGGAUGGGCCCGCGGCCUAUCAGCUUGUUGGUGGGGUAAUGGCCUACCAAGGCGACGACGGGUAGCCGGCCUGAGAGGGUGACCGGCCACACUGGGACUGAGAUACGGCCCAGACUCCUACGGGAGGCAGCAGUGGGGAAUAUUGCACAAUGGGCGCAAGCCUGAUGCAGCGACGCCGCGUGAGGGAUGACGGCCUUCGGGUUGUAAACCUCUUUCACCAGGGACGAAGCGCAAGUGACGGUACCUGGAGAAGAAGCACCGGCCAACUACGUGCCAGCAGCCGCGGUAAUACGUAGGGUGCGAGCGUUGUCCGGAAUUACUGGGCGUAAAGAGCUCGUAGGUGGUUUGUCGCGUUGUUCGUGAAAACUCACAGCUUAACUGUGGGCGUGCGGGCGAUACGGGCAGACUAGAGUACUGCAGGGGAGACUGGAAUUCCUGGUGUAGCGGUGGAAUGCGCAGAUAUCAGGAGGAACACCGGUGGCGAAGGCGGGUNCUNCUGGGCAGUAACUGACGCUGAGGAGCGAAAGCGUGGGGAG
RNAcentral lists this ribosomal RNA (606 nucleotides) under uncultured Mycobacterium sp. RNAcentral describes it as "bacterial SSU rRNA". It matches the Rfam family "Bacterial small subunit ribosomal RNA", at positions 150 to 768 of the family's 1533-position model. Lineage: Bacteria; Bacillati; Actinomycetota; Actinomycetes; Mycobacteriales; Mycobacteriaceae. The record is from RNAcentral.